Drosophila biarmipes is the source of this 607-nucleotide long non-coding RNA. RefSeq lists it as uncharacterized. The transcript is spliced from 2 exons. The record is from RefSeq and is a predicted model, not a curated record. Lineage: Eukaryota; Metazoa; Arthropoda; Insecta; Diptera; Drosophilidae.
AUGUUGCGAUUAUUACGAAAUAAACGAAGAACCAGAGUGAAUAAGAAUGAAAACGAAAUGACAGCGGCCGAGAGGGAGACAUUGUACGUGUACAUUCUUACGGAGAGGAUCGUCGCAGAUACACCGACACAGAUACAGAUACAGAUGCAGCGACACAUCCAGCAGGCAGAUCGUGCCGGAAAAGUGGGGAUAUGGGGAAAUCGGGAAUGAGGAAAGCGGAAAUCGUCUUUAUGGCGACUUCAUUGCCGAAGAUUACAAAUCGUUGGGUGAGUUCACAUGAGUCUCGUUGGCCAAUUGGUAUAAAUAAAGCAAUGGGUUCCCAUAGAUUUUCUUUUAUAACAUUUAUGAUUUUCCAUAGGUAUAUACUUCCGUUAGCUUAAUCACCACCCGUAUUUAAUAAAGAAUUUAAAGUUUAAUUAUGCAAUUGUAAUUGUGCGAUAAUUAUUUAGAAUGUUCGCUCAAAAACCUGAAUUCUGUUUACGUAACUUAGUAUGACGUAAGUCACGCUUGCUAAUUAGCAAGGUUAAUAUGUAUACAGUAUUAAAAUAAAAUGUUUUUACUUUCGAAACAGCGUACAGCUGGAUUGCUAAUUAAAACUUUAAACCUA